ACCUGUAUGCUUUAUCAGUAUCUUCACACUUCUUGAUUAAGAGCACAUCCAACCUAUAUGGCACACAACAACCUACGUUUGAUAAACAUCAUCAUUCUUUAAUGACAUAUCAUUUAGUCACGGACAUAUUUAAAAACUAUUCGAUAAAUUCUCCUUUAUCGAUUGUCAUAUAGUUCUAAAAACUUUAUCACAACAUUAAAGUUCAAUCAAAGAAGAUGUACACCUUGUGAUGAAAAAUAAUAAAUAAU
This 248-nucleotide long non-coding RNA is filed under the name Elaeis guineensis (African oil palm). Its description in RNAcentral is "long non-coding RNA (EGUI_LNC019581)". The record is from RNAcentral. Lineage: Eukaryota; Viridiplantae; Streptophyta; Magnoliopsida; Arecales; Arecaceae.